AAACGGAAGCGGGUCGGCAUUUACACUUUCUGAGUAAGAACCGGUACUGACGGCAGGCGGGCCCUUAGCCGUCAGAACACAGCUGCCUCUCAAUCAGUUCAGCGCCCGGCCAAGCUCGAUGUGAGCCAAUUCCUGCCCUGGGUAAGGUCGGGAGAGCCCAGAGCGCCUGGCAGCCGUGAGCCUAGGGCUCUCGGGUCCGCAGUCGCAGGGCUUGCGCUUGGAGUGUGCGGAGAAGUGGGGCAUCACCCUGAAAUGAGAAAGCCCAAAACCGCCUCGGGAAAACCAUCCACGACAAUCAAGAAGAUGCCGGCCAGGGCUGAGCGUCAAAAUACUCUUUUGACGGAUCUUUUUUAAUCAUUAUUUUCAAAACCUGUGAUCUUACUUUUUCGCAGCAGCGCCAUGUAUGUCCACGUUGGUAAGGGCUGACACCUGCGGAUUGAAGAAUAAAAUUUAGUUUCAAUGA
Heterocephalus glaber (naked mole-rat) is the source of this 463-nucleotide non-coding RNA. The record is from RefSeq and is a predicted model, not a curated record. NCBI's taxonomy places the organism in Eukaryota, Metazoa, Chordata, Mammalia, Rodentia, Bathyergidae.